AGUUCAGACUACCGCUCAGAACAGUCACGCGGGUCAUGGUGUUGGGAUUUGCGAGGGAGGGAAGACCUGUUGUCUCUUAACCCAUUUUCUAACUCAAAAACAUUAAAAGAUACCACUUGUCUUCAUUUAUUUUAUUUGGAUUUUAAACGCUCCUUUCCUUUCUUCAUAAAUCGUAAUAAAAAAAGGGAGGAAAUAAUGCAAAGAGAGUUAUACGAGACCCAGAAAAGAAGUAAAGUGCAAUAAAAAGACAAGGCGCAUCACGCAUGGAAUCUGGUUUUUUCUCCUAUUUUGUGCCAGUUAUUAAGCAAUUGAAGUACUAUAUGUAUGAAAUUUUUCCGUUUCGUGUUUCGCUUGACAAAGAUUUGCUAUAAUAAAUAUUAAUGUGAAGGAUGCGCCUUAGGUGACUAAGAGCAUUGUCCUAAUAAACACUCUGCAGAAGCUUGGAGUUAGAGAUUAUUCAUUGAUCGAAGCCCUAGGUGGCUUUCUUUCGACUGUAAGAGACGCGCUCUGAAUCUGGGAAUUUCCAAUGGCGUUUUGGUGGCCAUUGCUCGUUUUAGCAUUCGCUUACGGUCUCUGUAGGUUCCUUCUCAUGCUAAUUCCUCCCAAGGUUCCUUCCAUCGACGUUGACACUUCCGACGUGUUGGACGAUGGAAACCAAGCGCAGGAGAACAGCUUCAUUUAUGUGCCUCCGAGAGGAACAUCACAACAAUCGAGCAGCAGGAUAGUUCAGUGCUAUGAGCCUGCAACUAUGAAAUAUUUAGGAUAUGUUCCAGCAUUGACACAUGAUGAGGUCAAGGAUCGAGUGGCAAAAGUAAGGAAGGCACAAAAAAUGUGGGCAAAGUCCAGCUUCAAGCAAAGACGCUUGUUUUUACGUAUACUUUUAAAGUAUAUAAUUAAACAUCAAGCGCUUGUAUGCGAAAUAUCUUCACGUGAUACUGGAAAGACAGUGGUAGAUGCCUCUUUAGGAGAAAUAAUGACAACAUGCGAAAAGAUCAAUUGGCUACUAUCAGAGGGCGAGCAGUGGUUAAAGCCUGAAUACCGGUCUUCUGGAAGAUCAAUGCUUCAUAAGAGAGCCAGAGUAGAAUUUCACCCCCUUGGUGUUAUUGGAGCCAUUGUUUCAUGGAAUUAUCCUUUCCACAAUAUUUUUAAUCCUAUGUUGGCAGCAGUUUUUUCUGGAAAUGGUAUUGUGAUUAAGAUAUCAGAACAUGCAAGUUGGUCUGGAUGCUUUUACUUCCGGAUCAUCCAAUCAGCGCUUUCUGCCAUAGGAGCUCCAGAGGACCUUGUUGAAGUGAUAACAGGGUUUGCUGAAACGGGAGAAGCAUUGGUAUCUUCUGUUGAUAAAGUCAUAUUCGUUGGAUCUCCAGGUGUCGGUAAGAUGAUAAUGAAAAAUGCUGCUGACACACUUAUACCAGUGACACUAGAGCUUGGUGGAAAAGAUGUAUUUAUUGUUUGUGAAGACGUAGAUCUGGACCAUGUUGCUCAAGUUGCUGUCAGGGCUGUUCUUCAGUCAAGUGGACAGAACUGUGCUGGAGCGGAACGAUUUUAUGUCCACAGGGAAAUUUAUUCUGCUUUUGUCAGUAAAGUUACCAAAAUAAUAAAGUCUGUAACAGCUGGCCCACCGCUUGUUGGAAAGUAUGAUAUGGGAGCUCUAUGCAUGCAUGAGCAUUCUGAAAAGCUUGAAGGCCUUGUAAAUGAUGCCUUAGAAAAAGGAGCUGAAAUUGUUGCACGAGGGAGUUUUGGACAUAUAGGUGAAGAUGCAGUUGAUCAGUAUUUCCCCCCUACUGUGAUUGUGAAUGUGAAUCACUCAAUGAGAUUGAUGCAAGAAGAGACAUUUGGACCAAUCAUGCCAAUAAUGAAAUUCAGCUCUGAUGAGGAAGUUGUCAGGCUUGCAAAUGACUCAAAAUAUGGGCUCGGCUGUGCUGUUUUCUCAGGCAGUCAGAGCCGUGCCAGAGAGAUAGCUUCACAGAUACAUACUGGGGUAGCUGCAGUUAAUGAUUUUGCAGCAACGUACAUGUGUCAGUUUGCUACAACUAGAAAUCUUCAAGAUGUAAUUUACCAGAGGCCUGAAAUUGAAGUGGGUUUAAUCUACGGUUUUCCACUGAAGUAAUGAUGCGUUGUGAUUUCGCAGUCCCUGCCAUUUGGUGGUGUGAAACAUAGUGGAUUUGGACGAUUUGGCGGUGCAGAAGGAUUGCGAGCUUGCUGUCUAGUUAAAGCAGUUGUUGAAGAUCGAUGGUGGCCAUUUCUGAAAACCAAGAUACCUAAGCCUAUUCAGUAUCCUGUUGCAGAGAAUGGAUUUGAGUUUCAGGAGUCACUUGUUGAAGGGCUUUAUGGUCUCAGCAUAUGGGACCGUUUGCGAGCAUUAGUAAACGUUUUAAAAAUGCUUACUGAACAGAACCCUGCCGGCAGCAGCAACAAGCGAAAAAACGAGUAAUUUUCAUCUCAGGUAACAUGCUAAACGCUUAAUAAUAUUGUCAUAAUCAAACCCUGCUGCUAGCAGCUGUAAGAAUUGACUAAUUGUCAAGUCAGGACAAGCUAGAUGGUGUCGAGUUCAAAUUAUGGGGGAUUUCGGUUGUCCUAUUUAUCUCGAACUGUAAUUUUUGGAGUUGUGCCAUUUUUUUUCGAGCUUAUUAGUUGUCGCCGCUGGUCAUUUGUGAAAUUUUAUGAUCCUUAUGUGACGUUUAAUCAAAUUAGGAUGAAAAAGGUUCUGUGAUCCCAUGCUAGAUGGUUACGUGAUUGUCAUUCGAAUUCUCACAGUUCAUUGUCUUGGGAAAAAAAAUAGGAAAAGAUCAUUUAAUGC
This is an RNA transcript of Abrus precatorius (Indian licorice), 2797 nucleotides long. It is a transcript of the gene named aldehyde dehydrogenase 22A1-like, with no coding region annotated. The record is from RefSeq and is a predicted model, not a curated record. The transcript is spliced from 14 exons. NCBI's taxonomy places the organism in Eukaryota, Viridiplantae, Streptophyta, Magnoliopsida, Fabales, Fabaceae.